AGUUAUUAUCCUGGGGAAGAUUUGUCUUGAAAAUAAAUUUUAAGUGUUCGAUUCUCUUAGUAGCUU
Molecule: transfer RNA, 66 nt
Filed under: Cipangopaludina cathayensis
Lineage: Eukaryota; Metazoa; Mollusca; Gastropoda; Architaenioglossa; Viviparidae
Description: tRNA-Ser
Source: RNAcentral